AGCGAACGCUGGCGGCAGGCUUAACACAUGCAAGUCGAGCGGGCCCUUCGGGGUCAGCGGCAGACGGGUGAGUAACACGUGGGAACGUACCCUUUGGUUCGGAAUAACGCUGGGAAACUAGCGCUAAUACCGGAUACGCCCUUUUGGGGAAAGGCUUGCUGCCGAAGGAUCGGCCCGCGUCUGAUUAGCUAGUUGGUGGGGUAAUGGCCUACCAAGGCGACGAUCAGUAGCUGGUCUGAGAGGAUGAUCAGCCACACUGGGACUGAGACACGGCGCAGACUCCUACGGGAGGCAGCAGUGGGGAAUAUUGGACAAUGGGCGCAAGCAUGAUCCAGCCAUGCCGCGUGAGUGAUGAAGGCCUUAGGGUUGUAAAGCUCUUUUGUCCGGGACGAUAAUGACGGUACCGGAAGAAUAAGCCCCGGCUAACUUCGUG
This 433-nucleotide ribosomal RNA is filed under the name uncultured bacterium. Its description in RNAcentral is "partial 16S ribosomal RNA". It matches the Rfam family "Bacterial small subunit ribosomal RNA", at positions 29 to 507 of the family's 1533-position model. The record is from RNAcentral.